GGAAAAAUGUUGGCUGAGCACUUCAGUAUUCAAUAUUUACGGAAUCUGAUUUAUAUUUUUAUUAAAAUCUAUUAUAUAUCUUAUACUGCAACAGGGGGGUUUGGGGAGCCAAUUUAAUCGUGUGUAAUUACUUAUAUACCCCUCGAGAACCCUUCGUCCUUGUCUGAUUGUUUCUGACUCUUCACUUCCCCUUGCAUGCUCAUCACCCCAGAUCUCGGUUUUUUUGUGCAUCUUUACCACGUGCGUUUCUCUGUAGCUUCGGUUGUUCAAACCAGCUCUCUUCGCGUCAUCGUGCUCCCUUCCCUCCAUGUCGUCUACUGCAACAUCACUUUUGGUGAGCCAGUUAAUUGGUGUGAAAAUACAAUCUUACCCCUCUUAUUUGCUCUAUUUAUCAUAUUUACGUAUAUCGCUCGAGCCCGGCCCCUUCUUCUUCCCUAGACCACUCUGCAAAGAGUUCUUGGACUUCGGAUGGCCUGCUUCUAUUUUUCAUCGACUUUUCCUUCUUGGGAUUGCAUAUUUAUGAUCUUGUUUUACUUGUCCAAAAGAAGGUGGACCUGACAAAGUCGGUGUUGAAACAAUAAAAAAGAAGCUUUAAAUUUUUUGUACAGAAUUGUAUGUAUGAUUAUCCCAAGUAUGAUGCUCCAUUUAGGGAAGGCGACAAGUUCUACUAUUUCAAUUACACCGGUCUUCAACAUCAACAGGUCCUCUAUAUGCAGGUACAUCAAUUUUUUAAUGCUAGCAUCUAUCUAUGCAUGCGUGCUCCAAAUACACCUAUCUACCUGUUUAAUUUGGUACUUGACAUUUAUCUUGAAUCCUGAAUGCUAUUUAGUAUUUUUUUUCAUUUACUAUAUAGCAAUAUUUAUGAUUCUUGAUUAUAUUAUCCUUGAUUUUGCCAUAGCUCCUUUUUAUUAAAUAUGGAGUGCCACACUGUUUGAUGAAAUGCUUGAAUGACUUAUUCUUUAUGGUGGAGUAAAAUUGCUAGAGAAACUGAUCCAGUUUGAAAAUCGGGAAUGUUUGCUGAAAUGGCAUUGUGCAAAGAAGAUCAAAGGUUACUCAAGCAAUACAAUGAUCGAGAUUCGGUUGUUGAUAGUGGAAACGUUUAUAACGUUCAAGCAGAGGUGGUUAAGAUUUGCGAAAGUCGGGAUCGUAUUAUUCUUCUUGUUACAAGAUUGUUGGAUAGGGGCAUAGUCUUAACUCGAAUUAAUACACACGUCAGAUAUUAGGCACAUAAUUAAGCGCUUCUGUAUUUUUUUUUCUGUAUCUAAGCUCUGCAGGUGUUUUUGCUGGGCUUAAUGUAGAGUGCAGAUUGGUUAAAUCGACACAAUCAUAUAUGAAAUGAUGAAAUGUUACUGAGUGUUUUUUCUACAUGUUGAAAGAUUAGUAUACUUACUCCGUAAUUAUUAGAACUGAGUGGAUUUUAUAUGGCUCUUAUACUUUUUAUUGUUAUUAAAUUUCCUUAUGAUUUGCAAAAUGCUUAUGCUACUGGAGCUGCCGGGAAAAUCUGAUUGACAUAGUGUAAAUAUAUAGGCCAAUAUAUCUGCUGAAUAUAAAAUUUUACAUGCAUUUAUGAACUAGCUUGCUACCUACUUUCUUAGCAGUCGACCUAUGGGGAAAAGCGAUAGUUUAUGGGUAAGCAUCCAACCCACCUUGAUUGUUAUGGGGGAGGCGAGGCCAUGUGAAUUUGAUGGCCCCGUUAUAGGUCCACAAUCCUAGAUUUAGUCUGUAUAGAAAGCAAAAUCAGUUCCUUGGUAGGAGGCUUUUAUAAUACUUACUGAACAGUGCACGCUUAGAACUUAAGUGAUAACCUAAACUUCAUUGCACUCCAUUAAGUGGUUCUGAUCAAAUUCCAAUGAGGACAGAUGUAUCAACCUUCAAAAUUCAUAUUCUCGUGUCCAAGUACCAAACUAUUUUUCUUUUCUUCCGUAUCUCCUUUUAAGUCCCAAAAAUAAAAUCAUAAGAUGGUAGAAAGAUUCCAAAAUCAUCAAGAGCUUGGGCAUAGCUCUGAUUCGUUACUGUUAUAUAUAGCUCAAGAUGCAAUUAUACUAUUCUACUCAAAUCUUCUAUAGUGUAACUUGAUUAACAUCAAUGCUUCCUGUGGUAAAGAAUUCUAUGUAUUUAGGUCGUCCUAAAUGCGCCGGGUCUCCUUUAUUGUCUGAAGUAAACAUUGUUUUCUCACUACUGCAGAUACGCGAUACUAGCGUGAUUUUCAGGUUGCUCUGCUUUGGAGGACUUAAGAAGACCCUAAACCUGAAUACAAAAGAGCGGAAAAGAUUUGAAGUUUAUGCGUGUGCGAUGGCUGAAAGAAAUCAUACAUUAGAAAUCUGGCGAUUGCUUGACCCAGAAGCACACCUAAUUGAUCAUAAGAAACUAUAUAUCAGCUCAUAUUGUAUCCUUUAACUCAGGUUAUAGGAAGCCUUUGCACAGGGUCUUCCAAGAUCAAAAGUUCCAUCGAGAGAGGUAAAGGUCAUCGAUGAUCAUUUAAAAGUUUGGGAAGACAUAGAUCAACCUCGAGUUCAAGUUGUUCCAGCAUUUCUUCCGUAUUGUGCUCCUCUGGCAGAGUUUGUAGACUAUUUUACGAAGAUGAGGUCAAAAAUCUGCCAUUGCCGUGUGAUGUCAGCACCUACUUGAUUCCACAGCCACGUAGAUCGAGCUAGAAAGCCACGUCAGAUCUGUUAUAUCUCAGGUAGUGAGUUCUCUGGGAUGAAUUUGGGUGCUGGUGCUUAUAUAAAAAGAGGACAAGGAAAGUGAUAUAUAAAAAAUCAAAGGGGUUUUUCAGAGGCGUGCCUGAUUCUUUUUCUUUUUGCCAAUUUUCUCACAUGAUUCUUCUAUUUAUGUUUUUCCUUGGUCUUUAUAUCAUGAUUAUCAUCUAUACAAUGAUAACUAAUUAUUAGGUCGCUUAUCUUUGUUAGUAUAGUUGAGACAAGGUUUUCUUACAAGUGAGGGGGUCAUAUAUAAUCAAGAUAAUACUCUCUCUGUCCCCCUAGGUUAUUUACCUUGGGGGACGGGCGCUUGACACACAUUUUAAGGCUCCAGUGAAGUGUAGUUUCACAAAUUACUUUACACUUUAUUUCUUCUGAAUAAAGUUUAAUGUUUAAAUAUUUACAUAAAAAAGGAAAAUUUAAAAAAUAAAUUAUGGAACUAUGUUUUCUAUGUGCCUUAAAAUGUGUGCCAAGCAAUGUAAGAAAACUGCAAAGAAAUGAGAGGGACAGAGAGAGCAGAAUAAUAAAAACUUAAAAAGUUAGUUUCACUUCACUUUUCUAUUGAACUUUAUUUGUCUAUUAUCGACAUUUGGCAUAUGCUUAUGUAUAGAUUGACAAGGUCAGUUUAUUUGUAGAAACUAUUUCACAAGUAAACAACUAAAUGUUUCUGCCGCUGAAACCAACAAAGAACCCCUCAUUUGCGACAAUACCGAUGAAGUCUAAACAUUGUUAAGGCUGAGAUAUCAACUUUUAAAAAGCGGGAGAGUAUGAUUUUGUGUUGACAGGGAGCAAAGAUAAUGGUAAUUCCAGGGAACAUCAGUUUAUAAUAAUAUACAUUUCGUUAAGUUUAAGCUCAAUCUUAGAACUGUAGAUUUCACUAUCCACUGAAUAUAUUUCAUAAACACCAAGGGCCCAAGAUUUGUUUAUUAGGAAUUUAAGCUCAUCUACAUGAGAAUGUAAUCUUGACUGGGUUGAAAAAUGCAAUAUAUUAUGAUGUUCAUAUUGAAGCGACUUGGCACGUCUUAUAGCCAAGAUGUUGCAUGUACAUCUCGUCCUAUUCAAAUAAUAAAAAAUAAUAAAAUGACUGUGUUUUAGGCUCUCUGAGGCUUUUCAUUUCUAGAAUAUAAACUUAUGUAACGUGUAUCCUUCUUUCAUGUCGCUAUACUAUUUAAACGUUAUAAUAAGCAUAGCAUUUUUCAGAUGGGUGAUGUGGCAGAGGACCUGAUAUGAGGGCGACUUUAGAGUUUAGAUGCCAUCAUGGUCAAAUUGCAAAGCCAUCCAAGUAGUAGUAGCUGAAGGCAUAAAGGGUCUUGUCAAAGAACUCGGCAACAUGUUUGUGGAGCUGGAGCUGCAAUUUUAAUUUCCAAUCUGGCUUGCCCAGCUUGAUUGAUGAAUUACAGGUCCGCUUAGGGCCGUAUCUACAAAGCCAUGCAUAGCAGGAGUUUAAGGCGUAUCAAAUACAUGAUGCGGGUCUUCUAAAUUUGAAAGAAAUUAUCUCCCCCUCCCCUCUCAUUAAGGCAGCCAGAUGAACAGUUUUGUUUCCUGAGGCUGACCAUGCAUCAAGAACCUUAGGAGGAAAAAAGAAAUUUGAUUAAACCAUCAUAGGCCUCUGUAGACAAUAGAAUAAAGAUAACUCACAAGUCAUGACUGAUACAAGUCCAACUCACCUCCCUGGUCUAAGAUCAAGGGCUACUGCCACCAUAGAACUUGCCUUGCCCUAAAGGAUGAUUCCAUUUUUCACAAAAUGAUGAUCAUGCAAAUCUGUACCAGGUGGAAGUACUAACAAAUCAGUAACCAAGACAUCCUUGUGAACCUGUUGAGCAAGAGAACGAUUUAAAAGACAAGCAAUGACAUACAUAUUUUCUUUUUGUGCCUCUUCCUGUGCUCUAGACAUGACUAUGUAGGCUGUGCGUCCACACACGGUUUUACUAAAUGAAAAGUUUUAGUUCAAGUCGAAUCAAAAUGUUAACGAUUAAAGUUUGAGAGGUUUUAGCUCAUGCGACUGUGAUACUGCCCUGUCACCUGUGUGUGGCUCGGCUUAGGCAGAUGCAAAUUGAUUGUGAUGCCUUCGCAACUGUCAGAAGCUAAUGAAAUCUGUAAGGCUAUUUUAGACUUCUAAAGAGGGAGACAUUCUGCGGUCCAUGCUUUUUGUUACAUAAGCUUUUAUAUGAAGUGCCUAGCAUUUCUUGUUACCUACAUCGGACAACAUAAUCUGCUGCAUAGUCUGGUAAAUUCAGGGUGAAACUACUACUCUCUCUUUCUCAUUCAUUUCUAUACGGUGACAUUGAAGAAAGAUCAGAAACAGUAUUGGCUAUACAAAGACUAGCCUUACAGGUUUAUAGCAUCCAAAGAAUUUGCUGAGGCUCUCCGAUCAUUUUAUGUCUGGAAACAUGUUAAGAAUGGUCUUCCAACCUCAUUUGACAAAGCUAAAAACCCAUCCUGCUGCUUUUACCAUCCAAAAAUAUGGUAUUAACAAGACGGAACUUAUGAAAGCCUUGACUGCAAGAGAAAUUUUGCUUAUGAAGAGAAACUCAUUUGUUUACAUAUAUAAAUUGUUUAAAGUGCGUUUUCAAUAUUCUAUUUUUUUGGACAGAUCUCUAUGUCUAAAUAUAUGUGUUAACUUUUAAAGAUAUCGGUAAUAUUGAUUGUGGCAUUUUUGUGACAAACAAUGUAUACUUGUAAAAAAAAAUUCCUGCUUAUGAUGAUGGUUGUAGUCA
Daucus carota subsp. sativus is the source of this 5416-nucleotide long non-coding RNA. RefSeq lists it as uncharacterized. The transcript has 9 exons. Lineage: Eukaryota; Viridiplantae; Streptophyta; Magnoliopsida; Apiales; Apiaceae. The record is from RefSeq and is a predicted model, not a curated record.